GACGAACGCUGGCGGCGUGCCUAACACAUGCAAGUCGAACGGAGUACCUUCGGGUGCUUAGUGGCGAACGGGUGAGUAACGCGUGAGAAACCUACCUUUCAGUGGGGGACAACAGUUGGAAACGACUGCUAAUACCGCAUAAUGUUAUCUGGGGGCAUCCCCGGGUAACCAAAGAUUUAUUGCUGAAAGAUGGUCUCGCGUCUGAUUAGCUAGUUGGUGAGGUAACGGCUCACCAAGGCGACGAUCAGUAGCCGGUCUGAGAGGAUGAACGGCCACAUUGGGACUGAGAUACGGCCCAG
This 299-nucleotide ribosomal RNA is filed under the name uncultured bacterium. Its description in RNAcentral is "partial 16S ribosomal RNA". It matches the Rfam family "Bacterial small subunit ribosomal RNA", at positions 28 to 334 of the family's 1533-position model. The record is from RNAcentral.